CCUACGGGUGGCAGCAGUGGGGAAUAUUGGGCAAUGGGCGCAAGCCUGACCCAGCAACGCCGCGUGAAGGAAGAAGGCUUUCGGGUUGUAAACUUCUUUUCUGAGGGACGAAGAAAGUGACGGUACCUCGGGAAUAAGCCACGGCUAACUACGUGCCAUCAGCCGCGGUACUACGUAGGUGGCAAGCGUUAUCCGGAUUUAUUGGGUGUAAAGGGCGUGUAGGCGGGAAAGCAAGUCAGAUGUGAAAACUCAGGGCUCAACCCUGAGCCUGCAUUUGAAACUGUUGUUCUUGAGUGCGGGAGAGGCAAUCGGAAUUCCGGGUGUAGCGGUGAAAUGCGUAGAUAUACGGAGGAACACCAGUGGCGAAGGCGGAUUGCUGGACAGUAACUGACGCUGAGGCGCGAAAGCGUGGGGAGCAAACAGGAUUAGAUACCCGAGUAGUC
This 443-nucleotide ribosomal RNA is filed under the name uncultured bacterium. Its description in RNAcentral is "partial 16S ribosomal RNA". It matches the Rfam family "Bacterial small subunit ribosomal RNA", at positions 338 to 795 of the family's 1533-position model. The record is from RNAcentral.